RNAcentral lists this transfer RNA (71 nucleotides) under Heterocephalus glaber (naked mole-rat). It matches the Rfam family "tRNA". From Rfam's summary of the family: Transfer RNA (tRNA) molecules are approximately 80 nucleotides in length. Their secondary structure includes four short double-helical elements and three loops (D, anti-codon, and T loops). Further hydrogen bonds mediate the characteristic L-shaped molecular structure. tRNAs have two regions of fundamental functional importance: the anti-codon, which is responsible for specific mRNA codon recognition, and the 3' end, to which the tRNAs corresponding amino acid is attached (by aminoacyl-tRNA synthetases). tRNAs cope with the degeneracy of the genetic code in two manners: having more than one tRNA (with a specific anti-codon) for a particular amino acid; and 'wobble' base-pairing, i.e. permitting non-standard base-pairing at the 3rd anti-codon position. The record is from Rfam by way of RNAcentral. Lineage: Eukaryota; Metazoa; Chordata; Mammalia; Rodentia; Bathyergidae.
GGAGGUGUAGCUCAGUGGUAGAGCAUUUGUCACCAUGUUCCAGGGCCUGGGUUUCAUCCCUAGCAUCACCA